CCCUACGGGGCGCAGCAGUGGGGAAUAUUGCACAAUGGGGGAAACCCUGAUGCAGCGACGCCGCGUGAGUGAAGAAGUAUCUCGGUAUGUAAAGCUCUAUCAGCAGGGAAGAAAGAAAUGACGGUACCUGACUAAGAAGCCCCGGCUAACUACGUGCCAGCAGCCGCGGUAAUACGUAGGGGGCAAGCGUUAUCCGGAUUUACUGGGUGUAAAGGGAGCGUAGACGGUUACGCAAGUCUGGAGUGAAAGGCGGAGGCCCAACCCC
This 265-nucleotide ribosomal RNA is filed under the name uncultured bacterium. RNAcentral describes it as "partial 16S ribosomal RNA". It matches the Rfam family "Bacterial small subunit ribosomal RNA", at positions 337 to 616 of the family's 1533-position model. The record is from RNAcentral.